UGGGGAAUAUUGGACAAUGGGCGCAAGCCUGAUCCAGCCAUGCCGCGUGUGUGAAGAAGGCCUUAUGGUUGUAAAGCACUUUAAGCGAGGAGGAGGCUACUGAAGUUAAUACCUUCAGAUAGUGGACGUUACUCGCAGAAUAAGCACCGGCUAACUCUGUGCCAGCAGCCGCGGUAAUACAGAGGGUGCAAGCGUUAAUCGGAUUUACUGGGCGUAAAGCGCGCGUAGGCGGCUAAUUAAGUCAAAUGUGAAAUCCCCGAGCUUAACUUGGGAAUUGCAUUCGAUACUGGUUAGCUAGAGUGUGGGAGAGGAUGGUAGAAUUCCAGGUGUAGCGGUGAAAUGCGUAGAGAUCUGGAGGAAUACCGAUGGCGAAGGCAGCCAUCUGGCCUAACACUGACGCUGAGGUGCGAAAGCAUGGGGAGCAAACAGGAUUAGAUACCCCGGUAGUCC
This 450-nucleotide ribosomal RNA is filed under the name uncultured bacterium. RNAcentral describes it as "bacterial SSU rRNA". It matches the Rfam family "Bacterial small subunit ribosomal RNA", at positions 355 to 796 of the family's 1533-position model. The record is from RNAcentral.